AGGGGUAUGGUUAUAGGUAGGGUUAGGGGUAGGGUUAGGGGUAGGGUUAGGGUUAGGGAUAGGGGUAGGGUUAUGGUAGGGUUAGGGAUACCCCUAACCCUACCCCGACUUUUAACCCUACCCCAAACCCUACCACUAGACCUAACCCUACCCCUAACCUUACUUCUACCUCCACCCCAACCACUAACUCUACCCCAACCCCUAACCCUACCCCAACCCUAACCCCAACCCUCUCCUGUUUUGCCACUUUUCAGAA
Molecule: non-coding RNA, 256 nt
Organism: Pelobates cultripes (western spadefoot toad)
Lineage: Eukaryota; Metazoa; Chordata; Amphibia; Anura; Pelobatidae
Source: the annotation of a GenBank genome assembly